RNAcentral lists this transfer RNA (72 nucleotides) under Camelus bactrianus (Bactrian camel). It matches the Rfam family "tRNA". Rfam says of the family: Transfer RNA (tRNA) molecules are approximately 80 nucleotides in length. Their secondary structure includes four short double-helical elements and three loops (D, anti-codon, and T loops). Further hydrogen bonds mediate the characteristic L-shaped molecular structure. tRNAs have two regions of fundamental functional importance: the anti-codon, which is responsible for specific mRNA codon recognition, and the 3' end, to which the tRNAs corresponding amino acid is attached (by aminoacyl-tRNA synthetases). tRNAs cope with the degeneracy of the genetic code in two manners: having more than one tRNA (with a specific anti-codon) for a particular amino acid; and 'wobble' base-pairing, i.e. permitting non-standard base-pairing at the 3rd anti-codon position. Lineage: Eukaryota; Metazoa; Chordata; Mammalia; Artiodactyla; Camelidae. RNAcentral also lists the same sequence under 2 other names. The record is from Rfam by way of RNAcentral.
GAGGGUAUAGCAAAGUGGUAGAGUGUGUGCUUAGCAUGCACAAGGUCCUGGGUUCAAUCUCCAGUACCUCCA